RNAcentral lists this ribosomal RNA (301 nucleotides) under uncultured bacterium. RNAcentral describes it as "partial 16S ribosomal RNA". It matches the Rfam family "Bacterial small subunit ribosomal RNA", at positions 509 to 807 of the family's 1533-position model. The record is from RNAcentral.
CAGUAGCCGCGGUAGUACGAGGGGGGCAAGCGUUGUUCGGAUUUAUUGGGCGUAAAGGGUGCGUAGGCGGUUUGGCAAGUCUUGUGUGAAAUCUUCGGGCUCAACCCGAAGCCUGCACGAGAAACUACCGGGCUUGAGUAUUGGAGAGGUGAGUGGAAUUUCCGGUGUAGCGGUGAAAUGCGUAGAUAUCGGAAGGAACACCUGUGGCGAAAGCGGCUCACUGGACAAUAACUGACGCUGAUGCACGAAAGCUAGGGGAGCAAACAGGAUUAGAUACCCGCGUAGUCCCUGUCUCUUAUAC